Long non-coding RNA from Sphaeramia orbicularis (orbiculate cardinalfish), 798 nucleotides. RefSeq lists it as uncharacterized. The transcript has 3 exons. NCBI's taxonomy places the organism in Eukaryota, Metazoa, Chordata, Actinopteri, Kurtiformes, Apogonidae. The record is from RefSeq and is a predicted model, not a curated record.
UUCAACUUCAUCUUCAUGUGAGGGAAAAGGAUAAAAGAAUCCAGAAGAUGAAGAGCAUACGUCCACUAUAAAGGCCACAGAGUUAAAUCCAAACACAAAGGACACCAAGUCUACAUCCCCGACCUUGGUACAAAAAUGGCUCAGAUGGGACAGGACAAGAAUCCCAAGGCCCGGUGCUCGACCAUCCAGUCCGACAUCAAGCAGCGAGGGGCCCUCUUCGUUCAUGCACAGUGAAACGCUUCAGAUUCAAUCCUCCACCACUCACCAAAAAGCCUGUCUCAACCUUGCCACAGCUAUCGCAUCCCUAGAUGACAUCAUGCUGACUUCACCGCUGGGGAUAAUACAAGGGUGGAGAGGGUGCUGACAGCAGGACAAAAAGUCUGAGGAGAGUUGAAGGGGGGGAAAAAAGGCUGCUGUCACUGCCGGACUGGAAGUGGAGGAACCUUAUUGGUAGCGUUCAGCUCAGCGGCCGUGGGACGCGAUGGGACAUUAGGGCUGCUCCCAAAUUGGGUCGGUGGUCAUAUGUCUGUCAGGCCGCUUCCUUAUUUAGAAGGAAGGUGUAAAAACAGGCCCACUUGUCACCGGAGAGCAAUGACAGGGCUCUUGUGGUCCCACGUCUUCUGCUGCGUCGUACAAGAACUUUUUUUCCCGGCAAAAAAAAAAUCUGUUCUUUUCCUCCUCUUAACCCUGACGCACCAGCUGGUCCAGUCCAGACCACCAGCAGGGCCUCAAAGAUCAGGGUUCAGGACCAGCAUCUGCCUUUGCUGACGUGUCCUUGGGUCAAAGAUACCAAAUCCC